AGACGUUCGUACACUAAGCCAUAGAUAGAAGCAGACUGUCUGGGCCAGUGCUGUGCAGCAGAUGCAAUCUGCCAGACCAUUCUCUGAUUUCUCCUCUGAUACGAGUGGAUGUUUGGCCACGAUUGCGGAAACAAAAGGCACAAGGGGUUCUGCAGUGAGGAGGAGAAAGAAAUAAGCAUCCCACAAACGCCAGGAGUACAGUGCGGAAACACUCCCCAGUGUCCGUGAGCACUUCGUCCCCAGCUUUACAAAGGACGUGUUUCCCCAACGAGAUGAACUCCAGACAUUCUGCACCCCUUCUUGUUUUGUAUUCUGACUGCCUGAGAAAGUGAGAAGACAUUAAAUUUGCCUCGUGCAAUGGUACAAUGAAAUGAACACUAUGACAGCCUGGUAGCCACUUGUGUGAUGAUACGGUGGGCCACUGGAAGGAGCUGUAGGCUGAGGACCAGCCCUCCACCUCUCAGGCUGUUACUCUCCUCACCCCAAAAUGUUACAAGAUCGUCGAUGGAGCUUGGCCUAUUUUUCAUUUUUCCUCAUAAAAUCAGCCUUCCCAGCCUUCACUCAUUCUAAUUCGCUUUCAAUUCAUCUCCUCGGGUUCAACGCGGCACAAGAUAAUGUAACUUUUCAAUAAAACAUAAAAAUAA
Myodes glareolus (Bank vole) is the source of this 644-nucleotide long non-coding RNA. RefSeq lists it as uncharacterized. The record is from RefSeq and is a predicted model, not a curated record. NCBI's taxonomy places the organism in Eukaryota, Metazoa, Chordata, Mammalia, Rodentia, Cricetidae.